UACGUAGGGACCGAGCGUUGUCCGGAAUCAUUGGGCGUAAAGAGCGUGUAGGCGGCUUGCUAAGUCUUGCGUGAAAUCUCGGGGCUCAACCCCGAGCGGUCGUGGGAAACUGGCAGGCUAGAGUGCGGGAGAGGAGAAUGGAAUUCCUGGUGUAGCGGUGAAAUGCGUAGAUAUCUGAAGGAACAUCAGUGGCGAAAGCGACUUCCUGGACCAAUACUGACGCUCAUGUGCGAAAGCGUGGGGAGCAAACAGG
RNAcentral lists this ribosomal RNA (253 nucleotides) under uncultured bacterium. Its description in RNAcentral is "partial 16S ribosomal RNA". It matches the Rfam family "Bacterial small subunit ribosomal RNA", at positions 524 to 776 of the family's 1533-position model. The record is from RNAcentral.